GACGAACGCUGGCGGCGUGCUUAACACAUGCAAGUCGAACGGAAAGGCCCUGCUUUUGUGGGGUGCUCGAGUGGCGAACGGGUGAGUAACACGUGAGUAACCUGCCCUUGACUUUGGGAUAACUUCAGGAAACUGGGGCUAAUACCGGAUAGGAGCUCCUGCUGCAUGGUGGGGGUUGGAAAGUUUCGGCGGUUGGGGAUGGACUCGCGGCUUAUCAGCUUGUUGGUGGGGUAGUGGCUUACCAAGGCUUUGACGGGUAGCCGGCCGGGGGGGGUGACCGGCGACAUGGGGACUAAGAGAGGCCCAAGACUCCUAGGGGGGGCAACGGUGGGAAAUUUGACAGAGGGGGGGGGAGCGGGUGCAGAAAGCGCCCGGUGCGGAAAAACGUCUUUCUGGUGAAAAACCGCUUCCGCCUGUAACGAACGUUGAGUGACGGUAGUGAAUAAAAAAGCCCCGGCUAACUACGUG
RNAcentral lists this ribosomal RNA (468 nucleotides) under uncultured bacterium. Its description in RNAcentral is "partial 16S ribosomal RNA". It matches the Rfam family "Bacterial small subunit ribosomal RNA", at positions 28 to 507 of the family's 1533-position model. The record is from RNAcentral.